UACGGGGGGUGCAAGCGUUAUUCGGAAUUACUGGGCGUAAAGAGCGCGUAGGCGGUCCUUUAAGUCGGGUGUGAAAGCCCAGGGCUUAACCUUGGAAUUGCAGUCGAUACUAUUGAUCUUGAAUACCUGAGAGGGUGUCGGAAUUCCCGGUGUAGGAGUGAAAUCCGUAGAUAUCGGGAGGAACAUCCGAGGCGAAGGCGGACACCUGGCGGUGUAUUGACGCUGAGGCGCGAAAGCGUGGGGAGCAAACAGG
This 253-nucleotide ribosomal RNA is filed under the name uncultured bacterium. Its description in RNAcentral is "partial 16S ribosomal RNA". It matches the Rfam family "Bacterial small subunit ribosomal RNA", at positions 524 to 776 of the family's 1533-position model. The record is from RNAcentral.